RNAcentral lists this ribosomal RNA (815 nucleotides) under uncultured bacterium. RNAcentral's name for it is "bacterial SSU rRNA". It matches the Rfam family "Bacterial small subunit ribosomal RNA", at positions 8 to 872 of the family's 1533-position model. The record is from RNAcentral.
AGAGUUUGAUCCUGGCUCAGAACGAACGCUGGCGGCAGGCCUAACACAUGCAAGUCGAACGCCCCGCAAGGGGAGUGGCAGACGGGUGAGUAACGCGUGGGAACAUACCCUUCGGUUCGGAAUAGCUCAGGGAAACUUGGAUUAAUACCGGAUACGUCCGUAAGGAGAAAGAUUUAUCGCCGAAGGAUUGGCCCGCGUCUGAUUAGCUUGUUGGUGAGGUAAUGGCUCACCAAGGCGACGAUCAGUAGCUGGUCUGAGAGGAUGACCAGCCACAUUGGGACUGAGACACGGCCCAAACUCCUACGGGAGGCAGCAGUGGGGAAUAUUGGACAAUGGGCGAAAGCCUGAUCCAGCCAUGCCGCGUGAGUGAUGAAGGCCAUAGGGUUGUAAAGCUCUUUUACCCGGGAAGAUAAUGACGGUACCGGGAGAAUAAGCCCCGGCUAACUUCGUGCCAGCAGCCGCGGUAAUACGAAGGGGGCUAGCGUUGUUCGGAAUUACUGGGCGUAAAGCGCACGUAGGCGGAUUUUUAAGUCAGGGGUGAAAUCCCGAGGCUCAACCUCGGAACUGCCUUUGAUACUGGGAAUCUUGAGUCCGGGAGAGGUGAGUGGAACUGCGAGUGUAGAGGUGAAAUUCGUAGAUAUUCGCAAGAACACCAGUGGCGAAGGCGGCUCACUGGCCCGGUACUGACGCUGAGGUGCGAAAGCGUGGGGAGCAAACAGGAUUAGAUACCCUGGUAGUCCACGCCGUAAACGAUGGAUGCUAGCCGUUAGACAGCUUGCUGUUUAGUGGCGCAGUUAACGCUUUAAGCAUCCCGC